This 23-nucleotide non-coding RNA is filed under the name Cricetulus griseus (Chinese hamster). The record is from RNAcentral. Lineage: Eukaryota; Metazoa; Chordata; Mammalia; Rodentia; Cricetidae.
AUUGCAAGCAACACUCUGUGUCA